UACGUAGGGUGCAAGCGUUAAUCGGAAUUACUGGGCGUAAAGCGUGCGCAGGCGGUUAUGCAAGACAGAUGUGAAAUCCCCGGGCUUAACCUGGGAACUGCGCUUGUUACUGGCAGGCUUGAGUGUGGCAGAGGGGGGUGGAAUUCCACGUGUAGCAGUGAAAUGCGUAGAGAUGUGGAGGAACACCGAUGGCGAAGGCAGCCCCCUGGGCUAACACUGACGCUCAUGCACGAAAGCGUGGGGAGCAAACAGG
This 253-nucleotide ribosomal RNA is filed under the name uncultured bacterium. RNAcentral's name for it is "partial 16S ribosomal RNA". It matches the Rfam family "Bacterial small subunit ribosomal RNA", at positions 524 to 776 of the family's 1533-position model. The record is from RNAcentral.